Molecule: non-coding RNA, 715 nt
Organism: Thamnophis sirtalis
Lineage: Eukaryota; Metazoa; Chordata; Lepidosauria; Squamata; Natricidae
Source: the annotation of a RefSeq genome assembly
AUUUGCAUGUCUUUGCAGCCUCUCUUUCUUGCAGCUCAACUUAAGCGUGAGGAGAAGAGGUCCACCUAGAAGGAACUUUGGUUUCAGAAGAUCAGUCCUUGCCCAUUUCUCUGCCAUGGCCCAACAGUUUCUCUUCCUCCUCUUCUUCCUCACCUGCUUCACUGGUACCUUGGCCCAGUUCACCAUGACUCAACCAGCCUCUUUGUCGGUAUCCCCUGGAGGAACAGUCAGGAUCACCUGUGUCAGGUCAGGUGGCUAUACUGGCUACUAUGUGAGCUGGUAUCAACAGAAAUCUGGUAUGGAACCCGUGCUACUGAUCUAUCAAAACAGUUACAUACCUUCUGGAAUCUCUCAGCAAUUUUCUGGUUCUUUUGAUAUUUCCUCCAAUUCGGCCACUUUGACCAUCUCCAACGUUCAACCAGACAAUGAGGCUGACUAUUACUGUUUGUCUUAUGAUGGCAACUAUCAGUACACAGUGAUUUCACCCUAUGGGGAACUAUAUAAUCCACCACUGGGAAAAAUCCCUUUAAUUUUCGAAGGUGUNCCUCGAGCUCUGAUCUAUGCAACCAGUUCCAGACCAUCGGGGGUUCCAGCCCGUUUCUCUGGAUCCAGAUCAGGGAAUGUGAUGUCCUUGACUAUCACUGGGGCUCUGGUUGAAGAUGAAGCCACCUAUUAUUGUUGCAUCUGGACGGGUAGUCAGUUCCAAAGUGAUUGA